Molecule: long non-coding RNA, 315 nt
Filed under: Malus domestica (apple)
Lineage: Eukaryota; Viridiplantae; Streptophyta; Magnoliopsida; Rosales; Rosaceae
Description: long non-coding RNA (MDOM_LNC018915)
Source: RNAcentral
GGGGGUAUUUGAUCGGAUCAUAUUUAUAUAUAUUUUUACUUCAAAUUCACUCGUCUUUUCUUAGUUAGUUCCUUAUAUUUUUGAGCUAUUUACGUUAUUUUUGUGUUUAUAGGAUUUGUUAUGCAAAGAAAAUAAAAAUAGAACAAGUUAAAUUUUAUGUAAUAAAUUCGUCAAAAGCAAAUUUAAAUUACAAUAUUGCUAAUCCAUUGUGACGCUAAAUGAUAAACCAAUAUUUAAACUUUAUAUUUCAUCCUUUUAUAUGUCUUCUCUUGUCUAAUUUAGUUGGAAGCUUUAAGUAUUUAUGAUACUUUUGAU